RNAcentral lists this long non-coding RNA (16001 nucleotides) under Nicotiana tabacum (common tobacco). Its description in RNAcentral is "long non-coding RNA (NTAB_LNC001600)". Lineage: Eukaryota; Viridiplantae; Streptophyta; Magnoliopsida; Solanales; Solanaceae. The record is from RNAcentral.
CCCCGGCGAUGGCGCCAACGGUGGCGGCUGGUGGCGGUGAUGACGGCGGAGAUGGUUGGGCUUCUGACUUCUUGGGACCCCCUGCAAUUAAUUCUACCAUUGCACUUUCUGUUUUUAGUUAUUUUGUUACUGCUCUUAGUGGUGUUAUGGUCUUUCUUUAUUUGCUUAUGUAGAAGAAUUAAUUAGUCUAUGUUUAUUUUCAUGUUUUUAUAAUUUGCUUUUAGUAAUUGUUUCUCUAUUUGGAAGUCAAUUCAUUUCUUAGUUAUUUGUUAUUAGGGAGUUUGACAUUUAUUUAAUUGAUUACAAAACUCUCUUAGUUAUUUGUCAUUUUUCUUUACAAUACGAAAAUUUAUACUAUGUUAUUAUACAAUGUAGAGUGCGAACUAAGUAUAUUUAUAUAGCAAUACAAGAAUAAUGUAAUAUUUAAAGAUAAAAAUGAUCUAAAAGUAAGUAAUCUCUACGCGAUGUUCACCAUAUAACAACCCUAUAAUUAUUAAUCAUAUAAUGAUUCCUUUAUUAUUAUUUGUCACAUAACUAAUAUAUUUAGCUUUAAACUUCUUAUUUCACCCCUAAUGAGAUGAUAUAUAGUCACAUCAAUAUUUAUAGCUUAUUUUAGACUAUAAAUUUCUAACAUCUUUUAUUUCUUUAAAUUAAGUGCGCAAUUAAAUUCCGUUGCAUAAAUUAAAAUGGAAUAUAUAUAUAUAUAUAUAUUAGUUACCGAGGUAACUAAUAUGUGAACCGAACGAAAUCAAGAAGGUAAAAACAUAGUUUGUCCUUGAUCUUGAAAAAAUUGUGUGUAAAGGAAUUGUCCCCAUCGGAGGGAUGUGUUACAGAGAUUUAGGCCUCAUUUAUUUGCACUUAAUGGAGGUCUAAAUCUUAAUUAUCCAGAUCUCAGAUAUUAAAUGUGUUUAUUUUUAAAGUCUAAAUCUUAAUUAUUCAGAUUUUAAUCGUUAAUUGUGUCUUUUUUUUUACUUUACAACCACUUAGUGAGUCUGAAUAGGUCUGUAUGAUUAAGAUCUAUAACAGAGGCUUAAUUUCUUUAAGAUGCUAUCAUCCAUAUUCAUUAUUAAGCCGCCACCGCCUACCAUUAUCAACUACCACCAUGCCACCACCACCACCAUACUCAACCACCACCACCACCAUUGUCGACUACCGCCACCCACCACUCCCACCACCAUCAUUCUCAACGACAACCAACACUCAUCAACCUCAACUACCACAACUAAUCACCCUAUCACCAUCAACAACCAUAGCUGGCACUGUCCAUCAUUAUAAACUAUCACCAUCUUCCUCAAUCACAACUACGAUCACCACCACCUGCCACUAUUAACUAUCAUCAUCCACCACCAUCAUCCUCAAUCAUAAUAGCUACAACUACCAAUCACACUAGCUACUACCCUAAACUACCACCAUUAACCAAAUCUACCGCCAACUACCACUUUUAGUCGGCAUUCAUAAGCACUACCGUUAGCCAUCACUACUAGCAACUAUCAUAUUUUUUAAAAUUUUAUAUUUUAUUGAUGGAAUAUUUGAUUAAUUAGUAUUUUAUUUGAAUUUUAUGUUUAUUAAUUUUUAUAUAAAGGUAAAUUUUAUACAUUCAGAUGUUAAAAUUCAAACAGCCUUAAUCAUUUAGUAUUUAGAUCUUAAUACGCAUCUUAACAUUCAGAUAUGUGAUCACACCUAACUAUGCCUUAUAAAAGGACAAAGCGGUCGCUGCAAAUAUACUCCGGUUAACAAGUCCGGAGUCGAAUCUAACAGGAAAUUAACUUAUCAAUCACAGCUAUUGGACUCAUAGAAAUUCACGUAUUCAAUCUUCAGAGAUAUUUGAGUAACAAAUUGGGUGUUUAUUAACUAAAUUUUACGUAAUAAAAAUGCAGUAAUUAAGAACUAGCUAUAAACGGUUUGUAAGCAAGAAUGGGAAUGGUCUAAGGUUCUAAUUUCCCCUCUUAUCGGAAUCCUUUCCCCUAUGUUUGUAAUAAAUUUGCUUAAGUCUUCUCUAUUGAUCAUGAGCACUCUGACUGUCGUAACUCUUUCCCGAAUAAUUACAACAAUAUACUAGAUAUAUUCUCCCGAAUUACGCUAGCUGGGCUUAAUUACAGUUCACUUAGAUCGCACCCAAGGUUUCAUUAUCUCUAAUCCGACCUUUAAACCCUUCGUAUUGAUCCUUCAUAUACAUUAGGAGUGAUGUUGUUCAACAACUACCUAAAUAUGCACUCUCUCCUGAGUAAUACGUACUAAAUAGGCACAAUCGAUUGAGGGUCCUUCAAUCAACAACAAUCACAAUAUAGUUGAACAAACAGAGAAAAUACUAUGGUAAAUCUAUGUUAACAUAAUAAGAAAUUUAUCCUCCAAGAGGUUCCCUCAAAACCCUAGGUUAGAAGUUUAGCUAUGCAUAAUCGUUUCCACAAUCAUAGCAAUAGAAUUCAUCAUCAAUGAUAAAAACAAGAGGAAGAAAGGUAAAAACUCUAUGCCGAAUCUUCCGUCUUGCUUCUUGCUUGUUCUUGCCUUCAAAAUCCCUUCAAAAACCUUGAUACCUUCUUUUUGGGCGAGCUAGGCUUCUUAUAGGUCAAGGAGAGUCGCCCCUGAACUUACGAAUUUACCCCUGAAAUAAAAUUCCUCGGAGGGACGAGUGCGGCUGUAGUUGUACCGCGGUUGGACCGCGCAUAAUGCCUUCCUUUCUGCCUGACGAGCGCGGCUGCGAUUGGCCCUCGUUCCUGGAGUUCAGUCUGUCUUCCAUUUUUUUCCUUCUUCUUUUGCGCGCACUCACCCCCCGAUUAGCCUUCCUUGCUCCAAAUUAACUCCAAACACUCUUUAAUGUCCUCAUAGUCAGGAAAUGCUCCUGCAAAGCACAAAGUUCAUAAUUAGAGCCAUUUUUUGUCAUUUAACAUUCAUAUAACAAUAAAGUAUAGCUUAGUUGGAGCGUAAAUGGUAGCUAAACUACAUAAUUAUCCCCUACUAUCAAUACCCCACACUUAAAUCAUUGCUCGUCCCCGAGCAAUCAAACCAUACUCUACAGAGGCUUACUUCACUUAGCAACUUCUCUAACUCAUCACACCAAGAACAUAUCACAAGGAUUGAGCCCAGUAGUGUAACAUCUUCGCCUCAAGAGUUGACUCUCAUAUGCCACGCACUACUCCUAACUUACUCACUUACUCUAACGCAGAGGUUAAAACUCACCUUUCCUUUAUGAAUCAAGUGCCCUCUCAUAACAACCGAGAGUAGUUCCACACACAAUACAAGUUAAGAACACUUAGGAACAUUCAUAUGCCACAAAAAAUGUACCAUAGGCUUUCCCGUAGUGUAAUACUCCACUAAUCGAGCUCAUUCAGUCUAGGAUCAAGUAGGACUUCAUUUGGUUGUAAUGUAGGUUGCGGAACGGGUAUGAUACAUUUAGAUAUAAAAGUGACUACACCUCCCUGAGUACUUUAAUACAUACAUCUUAACAUUUAAGGCCCUACUUAUGUCAAACCAAACUCCACCUUUUCAUCCAUGUGUAUCACCCCAUACUUAUUUAAGAAUAAUUAUAUCAAGAGUCACCACUUAUCAAUGAAUAUAUAUAUAUUCACAACAAUACAACUAUUUUUCUGUUUUCUUUCUUUUUCAAUUCAAGUGACUCUUACAUUUUCAAAACAGUGCACCUUUCUCCUUAUUUCAUUAGUUCCACUAAAAAGCUAAACCAAACACCCCACACUUUAACUUUUACAAAGUUCAUAACUAUUGAAGUUCUCAUGAGAGGUUCAAAGGUUUAAAUAAAUGGUCAAUUCAAACAUAUGGGUAAGGCUUGUAAUGUAGCUGUCAAAGAAACAUGAUUACAUGCUCAAAGGGGUUAACUACGAUAUAUAACAGCUAGGUGGGUAAAGUAUAUAUAUAGCUCAACAAAGAAAUGCUUAUAUCACUUCCAAGACUGAAUAAAAUUACUAUUUCGCUUUGCAAACACAUGGGACAAGUUUUAGGCAUCAAAUGCAGUGCACAAAAUACAACAAAUCUCACACACACAUGGUACAUGACUCAGUCCAGAUUGGAUCAUCGAAACACUCUAGUCAGAGUACUUAAGCCAAGUUAAGAACAUACAAUUUAAGGUACUCUAACAAGAAUCAACAACUAAGCCUAAGCGUCACACUAAAGUAUCUACUAUAUUCAAGGCAUAAUGACGUUAAGAGAUCCUCCUUCCAUAUCAGCCCAUAUACAACAAGUACCUAACUAAAAAUUAAAAACUAACUAACCCGAUUCAAACAAAAACCCUUGGAAAAGAACCACGGUCCAAAGAAAAACCAAGGGGUAAUUGAUACACUACCUACAAAAGAAUUUUUUUUAUCGGCUCAGACCUUCAAGAAACCCGUCGAGUGAUAUCUGUCGUCGGGAAAAGUCAAAAAUUUGAACUUUUCACAUAUUCACACAUUCAGACAACUAACCGAAAACCAAAAUCAAGCUACGUUCCUAUAUAUAUACAACAUACAAAUAAAGUAUCCCCCACCCCACACUUAAAAAGAUGUCAUGUCCUUAUGUCAUGAAGUAGAAAGUAAUGCGAGGCAAAGGAACUUCCCUGAAAGAUCAGUCUUGAUCAGAGACAGUGCGGGGGUCUAAGUGACACGCCCUCCCUAGCACACGCAGCCAGCCCAUGAUUUUCUUCUCUGAUUUAUCAUUUUGGGUGUCUAAGGCAUCAACUCUAGUCCCCAAGUUUGUGACAGUCGUACGCAGCCCUGCCAUUUCCUACUCUAAGGCUGCCAGCAGCGUAAUCCGACCGACCCCGGACGGUUCUUCGGCGUCUGCAACUUGCUCAUGGGUGGGCGACUCAGCCCCCGCGUCAUCCUGCUCAUCAUCACCCUCCUCAAGUGUAUUAGAAUCAUCACUAUUAGCACCUUCAUGUGCCAUAGGGUCCUUCUCAAUAGUCACUUUAUCCGCCCGAAAAUUUGCUUCUUUCUUCACUUUUCCAUCCACACUCAAGUUCUCCGGUACCCGUGCUGCCCGACAUAAUCUAGUGAGUAGGGAAGGGAAGAAGAAACCAUACCGCCACACUGGACAAUGGAUGAACAUCUCUUCGUAAAUAAUCUUGGCCAUGUCAAAAUUUUGGCCAUUCAUAAAACACCAAAUCAAUGCAGCUCCAAGACCAUUUACUUCAGUGGUGUUGGAAGAAGGGAGCAGGCGGCUAUUGAUGAUAUACAGCCAACACUUCUCUUCAAAGGUGAGUGCCGCCGAAUGAAACUUCUUCCCAGGUAGAAUCUACACAACUUCCUUGUCGGGCACACAUAUUAUUUCAAAGAACAAAUCCCACGUGGUGAAUCGUUUGCCAUGGGCUUCAUAGUAGUCCUACGCCCCAGGUAUGGGCAGCCGGUAUGCUCUCCGAAUGGCCUUAACAAAUGCGUCCACAUUUUUCUUUCUCACCAUGCAAACAUCGUUUACAUGUUCUAGAAGGUUCACGUAAAACUCCCGCACAACCAUCAAAUUAGCUUCAUCCGGUUCUUCAAAAGAAAUAUCCAGCCCGCGCUAGAACAAUUCAUUGUCAUGUUGGGAUAAUUAUAUUUUAGAGACCUUAUAUCAAUACCCCUCUCCGGUAUGGGCUUCUUGGAUGCCUAGUGACCAAAACGGUCCUGAGCUACGCUGGAGACGAAUUUGGAACUAUCAUACUAACGAGCAGGAUUUGAGGCUCGUGCCCUGGAGGAUCCAACUUGGCCACUGGAGAAAGCACCGGUGGUUCGAUGUUUCUUGGAGGGCGUCAUACUACCCGAAACAAAUAUCACUAUUAGCGAAGCAUAAAAUAUGUGAACCAAGGGAGGUUACUCAGACUUCACUCGCACAAUUAGUCACAAUGUACAUUUAAAACUCCCUGUGGCAUUUAAACAAACACUGUAUAUGCACAAUUCACUGGAAUCCCCAAAUAACAAAUUGAUAAUCCAAACUCAACCACAGUUAACCCAAUGUCACCACACAUGUCAAGAGAUACAUCUACUACAACCUCAACAAGCCCACUAGGGUACAAAGGCACAACACUAAAGAAAUCUACUAAAGAAGAAGAAAACUACUAUAUAACCAAGAACUCAAAUAUCCCAACAAUAAUAUAAACAAGUGACCUUACCUGGUGGAGUUAUAGGUAUGUUAUGUGAGGGGAAACUGUUAGAACAGAAAAGAGGGUGGAGUGGGUAUGGGUUGAUUGUUUGAUGUGAGAGUAUGAGGGUUGGGGUUCUUUGGGAAGAAGGAGAAAGGGGUAUGUGUUGUGAUUUUUAUGAGAGGGUUUUGGAUGGAGGGACGGUUAUUUUGGACUUAAGAGAAAAAGGGUGCGGGAAAUCAGGUUUGGGGGGAGGGAUAUUAACACAAAAAAUAAAAAAAUAUGAAAUAUAAAAUAACAAAAAAUAAUACGCUAACUAAGCUUGCAGCCGGAGCUACGUGCGCGGUCAUACCGUGGUCCGAGCGCGUCCAUACACGUGAGAGAGAAUGUUGGUCGAUUUGCGCGGUCUGUCCGUGGUCCGACCGUGGCUGCGAUUGUUGCAAUUUACGCGAGGCAGAAAGGAAGUCAAUAUGCACAGUUUAAGUGCGGCCGCGGACCUGACUCUGGGAUUUUUCCUCUCUCGCCACUUUUUACCUAUCUCUGGGUUGAUCCCUUCAGCGCCUGAUGGACUUAUCACUCGCCCAAACUCACCUACACUUGUCAGUACCUAAAAAAAUAAAAAUAACAAAUUCUAACUACAUAACAAUCACUACGCAAUGGGUUGCCUCCCAACAAGAGCCUUAGUUAAUGUUAUGGCACGACGAAUACAACAAAUCAAUGGGUUGUCUCCCAUGAAACACCUGAUUUAACAUCGCGGCACGACGUAGAUAAGCGUAUUUAAAGUACGCUCAACAUUAGAGGCUCGAUCAAAUGGUUCACUGAUAUUGCCUUUACUUCCUCCAUGCCCAUAUAAUAUUUUAAUCUAUGCCCAUUGACUCUGAACGCGCAAGAGUCAUUACUCGUAUCAAUCUCUACAGCACCCGUGGGGUGAAUUUCAACCACAUGAAAAGGGACUGACCAUCGUGAUUUUAAUUUGCCCGGAAAUAACUUUAGUCGUGAGUUGUAUAGCAAUACCGUAUCUCCAGGUUUAAAAUUCCACUCAAUAAUAUUUCUAUCAUGUAUCAUCUUCAUUCUCUCCUUGUAUAAUCUUGUUCUCUCAAAAGCGUGAUAUCUGAAUUCAUCGAGCUCGUGAAACUCCAUUACUCUACUUGUUCCCGUAGCUACAAUAUCAAGAUUCAACUGUCUCAAUACCUACCAAGCUCUAUGCUCCAACUCUACUGGUAAAUGACACACUUCCCAAACACCAACUUGUAUGGCAUUAUGCCGAUUGGAGUUUUAAAGGCGGUUCGAUAAGCCCAAAGUGCAUCAUCUAACUUCCUCGCCCAAUCUGUUCUAGUAGCAUUCACAGUCUUAGUCAGCACACUCUUUAUUUCUCUGUUCGAGACUUCCACUUGCCCGCUUGUUUGUGGAUGAUAUGGGGUGGCCACCUUGUGGCAUACAUCAUACUUCUCCAACAACUUUGUGAAGGCUUGAUUACAAAAGUGAGUGCCUCAGUCACUGAUUAUUGCCCUUGGGGUGCCAAAUCGGGUGAAGAUGUUCUUUCUCAAAAAACCAAUUACCCCCUUUGCAUCAUUUGUAAAGAGUGCUAUAGCUUCCACCCAUUUGGACAAGUAGUCCACAGCGACGAGUAUGUACUUGUUGCCAUAUGAGCUGACGAAAGGCCCCAUGAAAUCCAUCCCCCAUACAUCAAACAUUUCUACCUCCUGAAUUGGGUUCAUGGGCAUCUCAUGUCUAUGGGAAAUGUUCCCGGUUUGUUGGCAUUCAUCACAGCUCUUUACCCAUAAAUGUGCAUCUUUUAACAAUGUUGUCUAGUAGAAGCCCGACUCCAAGACCUUCGCAACUGUCCUCACUCCCCUGAAGUGCCCACCAUAUGGUGAAGUGUGGCAUGCCUGUAAAAUAGAAGAUUGUUCUAUCUCGGGGAUACAUCUUCGGAUCAUGUUAUCAAUACAAAUCCUAAACAGAUACGGCUUAUCCCAAUAGUACAUGCGACAAUCAUGAAAGAACUUUUUCUUUUGAACAAAGGAAAGGUCAUAAGGAACAAUACCGCUCGCCAAGUAGUUUGCAAUGUCUGCAUACCAUGGCGCUUCCUCGAGACUCGUGGCUAGUAGUUGUUCAUUUGAGAAACUUUCCAGAAUCUCUUCUACCUCAACCUUCUUCUCAGCUUCUUCCAGCCUAGACAAAUGAUCAGCUACUUAGUUCUCCGUUCCCUUUCGGUCACGGAUUUCCAAAUCAAAUUUUUGCAGCAAUAGUACUUAUCGAAUCAGGUGCAGUUUUGAAUCCUUCUUCUCGAUUAAGUACUUGAGAGCAGCAUGGUGAGUGUAAACAAUUACCUUCGAACCUAUCAGGUAUGACCUGAAUUUGUCAAAUGCGAACACCAUUGCCAGUAUCUCCUUCUCGGUUACAGUGUGAUUUAACUGGGCUCCAUUCAGCGUUCUACUUGCGUAGUAUAUUGGAUGCAUCAUUUUAUCCUUUUGCUGCCCAAGAAUUGCUCCCACAACAUAAUUACUCGCAUCACACAUCAUCUCAAAUGGUUGCUCUCAGUCGAGUGCAACUAUGAUAGGUGUUGUUACCAGUCUCUUCUUUAAUUCCUCAAAAGCUACCCUGCAGUCAUCAGAAAACAAAAAGGGUGAUCUUUUUCAAGCAAUUUACAUAAGGGGUUAGCAAUUUUGGAAAAAUCUUUUAUAAAUCUCAUAUAGAAACCGGCGUGCCCAAGGAAACUUUUGAUUGCUUUCACAAAAGUGGGUGGUGGAAGCUUUUCUAUCACAUCAAUCUUUGCACGAUCUACCUCAAUACCUUUACUUGACGCUAGGUGCCCCAAGACUAUACCUUCCUAUACCAUAAAAUGGCAUUUUUCUCAAUUGAGAGUCAGAUUAGUGUCCAUACACCUUUUCAAAUCUCUUCUCAAGUUCACAAGGCAAUCAUCGAAUGAGUUCCCUACCACUGAGAAGUCAUCCAUGAAAACCUCCAUUAUCUCCUCUACCAUAUCUAUGAAUAUGGCCAUUAUGCACCUUUGGAAUGUGGUGGGUGCGUUGCAUAGUCCAAAUGACAUUCAUCGAAAAGCAUAGAUUCCAUAAGGGUAGGUGAACGACGUUUUCUCUCUAUCCUCUGGGGCAAUAGAAAUCUGAUUAUACCCCGAGUACCCAUCCAGAAAGCAGAAAUGAGACCUCCCUACCAAUUUAUCUAGCAUCUGAUCAAUGAAUGGCAGUGGGAAAUGGUCCUUCCUAGUAGCCAAGUUCAACUUCCUGUAAUCCAUGUAGAUGCGCCAACCUGUGACUAUUCGUGUAGAGAUCAACUCGUUCUUCUCAUUUUUCACUACCGUCAUACCUCCUUUUUGGUACACAUUGCACUGGACUAACCCAGUUGCUGCCAGAGAUUGGGAAUAUGAUUCCCGCAUCCAACCACUUAAUAACUUCCUUUUUCACCACUUCUUUCAUGUUGGGGUUCAACAUUCUUUGAUGUUCUCUUAAAGGUUUGUGCCCAUAUUCCAGUAGAAUCUUAUGCAUACAGAAGGCCGGGCUGAUCCCCUUAAUGCCUGCAAUGGUCCACCCAAUUGCAUUCUUACACUCAGUCAGUACCUGCAAAAGUUGGUCUGCCUGCACAUCUAACAAACUGGCUGAGAUAAUAACAGGUAAAGUUGAGUCAGGUCCUAAGAAUGCAUACCUGAGAUGGGAUGGCAGUGGCUUCAGUUCCAACUUUGGUUGCUCUUCUAUCGAUGGCUUAGCUAGAGGAGUUUUUCUUUCCUCUAAGUGCAAGGGCUCAAAUUCAAGCUCCCUUAUCCAAAAACCUCGGCCUUCCAGAGCCAGUACCCACUCUGCCAAGUCUUCACUAUUACUUCAUCUAAGUUCACGAGACAAGCUGCUAGAGGGUCUUUAAUGUUCAGUGCCUCAUCUUCCUCCACAAGACUACAUCCACCGCGUCUAUUAGAGAGCAAUUUGCAAAUUCACUUGGUCUCCGCAUAGAUUUCUUCACGUUGAAUGUUAUCUCUUCAUCAUUUAAUCUCAUCUUGAGCUCUCCAAUUACACAAUCAAUUAAGGCUCUCCUAGUGGCCAAGAAUGGUCUUCCCAAAAUUAUGGGAAUUUCCUCAUCAACCCAACUGUUAAGGAUGGCAAAAUCUGCUAGGAACACAAACUUCCCAACCUGUACCAAUACAUCAUCUAGAAUCCCAGAGGGCCUCUUCACUAUUUGAUCAGCCAGCUGUAGUAACAUAAACGUGGGUCUAGCUCUUCCAAUGCCUAGCCUUUUGUAGAUAGCCAGGGGCAUAAGGUUUAUGCUUGCUCCUAGAUCACACAGUGCCUUAGCAAAUGCAAAGUUGCCUAUUGUGCAAGGGAUUGUGAUACUCCCAUGGUCAGACAACUUCUCAGCUAUGGGUAUCGUUACAUUAGCACUGCAGGUUUGAGUUAGUGUAAACAUGGACAAGUCUUGAAAGUCGAACUUGCGGGACAUCAAGUCCUUCAUCAUCUUCGCAUAACCAAGCAUCUCCUUUAAAACAUCAAUCAAUGGAAUGUUUACCUAAAUUUGCUUUCUCCAAGAAUUUCUUGUACUGCUCAUCUUUAUGAUACUUGGACAAUCUCUGUGGGAAUGGUGUUGGAGGUCACUUUUUCCCUGUGAUCUGAUUUUUCUCUUAUCCAGGCACUGCUUCCACUAUCAGAUCCGGUGCAACCUCUGUCUCUUUCACAAAUUCUUCUUCCUUGUUGAUGUUCUCUUGCGCCUGUUGUAUCGUCACCUCAGUUAACCCUGCUGAAUUGUCUAUCUCUACGGGUAUUAGCACCAAUAUCUUCGUCGGUCUGCUUUCACAAGCAAUGUUUUGCUCCCGAUCUAAGUCUCUACCAUUUCGGAGACUCACUACCAUCAGAUGCUUUGGGCCCUACUCUUUUGGAUUGAUUUGGGUGUUUGCAGGUAAUGUCCCAUGAGGACAAUUAUUUAAGGCCAUGGAAAUAUGUCCUAAUUGGAUCUCAAUAUUCUUUAUUGCUGACUCAUAUGAGUCUAACUGUCAGUUAGUUUUCCAGUGGACCCAAUAACUUGUUGCAUCAUUCUCUCAAGUUUAGAAAACCCAUCUUCAUGUCCCAUAGACUGUUAUUAUAGAGGUUGUUGAUAAGCCUGUUGCUGAUUUUGCUGGUUGUAACCCGGUUGCCUUUGGUAAGGCACCAUUUGACCCUGUGGUCGCAUAGCCCCAUGGUUAUUGUUGUUGUUGUACUGCUGCUGAGUUGGUCUAUAUUGUUGAUUCUGCUGACCCCAAUUCUGAACACUUGGUCUCGGUCCCCGUAAUUGGCCACAUAAUUCAUGUUCUCCUGAUAUUGUUGGUUAUCCACGAGCAAACAUAUGGUUGAUUAAUGCAUGAUGUACAUAAACCCCCCAUUAGUUGUAUCAACUAUGUGUACCUGCUGCUUCUAGCCUGAUUCAUCAACCUUUUUGGUGAGGAUGCUCAUUUGUGUCAGUAGAGUGGCCAUAUUUUUAGCUAUGGAGUUAGUCAGGUCUAACGCCACUGAGUGAACCACAUGAGUGAUUGGAGCAUUUCUUGUCGUCCAUCCUGAGUUUUGUGUCAUCUUGUCAAGUAGGAUCUUGCUUUCUCUGAAUGUUUUGCUCAAAAAUGCUCCACCUGCUGAAGCAUCAACAUUGACUUUCAAACUAUCUGCCAAACCCAUGUAAAAUCUCUGCCCCAACAUCUGCUGCGGAAUACCACAAUGUGUAUACGUAACUAGUAGACCCUUGAAUCUCCCCCACGUUUUUUGUAACGUAUCUGUUGGUUUCUGUCUGAAGCUCAAUAUCUUAUCAUUUUGCUAAGCAGUCUUGUUGGAUGGGUAAAAUUUGUUCACAAAUUGCUUGACUAAUUCCUCCCAACUAGUGAUGGAAUUUAUGGGGAGUUAAUUAAGAAAAGUCUGAGCUGCCCCAGUCACUGAGAAUGGAAAUAACAACAGACGUAUUGCUUUCGGUGUCACGUUAUGUUACCUCUGUAUGGCACAGAUUGACAGGAAAUUCUUCAGAUGCUGCUGAGGAUCUUCAACGUAUGACUCAGAGAAUAGUCCCUUGUUCUGCAAUAAAUGUAGCAUAUUAUUUGUGAUCUGGAAUGAAUUCGCUUAUAUCUGAGGGACUACAAUGGCAGUUAAUAAGUUAUUAGUGGUGGGUUGUGCCCAAUCAUAUAGUGCUGCUUCUAGCACAAGAGGCACCAUACCCUGAUCAUUUGGGUCAUUUACGUUGUUCCUAUUAUUUGGGUCAUUCUCGUUGUCUCUGUUGUUUAGAUUAUCGUCUUCCAUGUCUGGUUCAAUUUUUUCGGUUGAGUUCUAUUGUUGUUUGUCUUUCUUGUUUGCAUGGUUCAAUGCCUUGAAUACUUUCUCAGGAUCUGAUAAUGCUUCAAACAAUUCACCAGUUCUUGAGGAGUGUCUAGGCAUGCACCUGUAAUAACCACGGCUACAAACGUUAGAAUUUCAAUUAUUAGUUUAAAUUGAAGAAAAUUGACUACAGUAAGAAUUUUUGCACUUCUUUUUAACUUCAAUUAAUAACACUAUUAAUUCCCCGGCAACGACGCCAAAAUUUGAUCACGCCCAACUACACCUUAUAAAAAGGAAAAAGCGGUCGUUGCAAAUAUAUUCUGAUUAACAAGUCCAGAGUCGAAUCUCACAGGGAAUUAACUUAUCAAUCACAGCUAUUGAACACACAAAAAUUCACGUAUUCAAUUUUCAGGAUAUUUGAAUAACAAAUUGGGUGUUUAUUAACUAAAUGUUACGUAAUAAAAAUGCAGCAAUAAGAACUAGCUAUAAACGGUUUAUAAGCAAGAAUGGGAAUGGUCUAAGGUUCUGAUUUCCCCUCUUGUCGGAAUCCUUUCCGCUAUGUUUGUAAUAAAUUUGCCUAAGUCUUCUCUAUCGAUCAUGAGCACUCUGACUGUCGUAAAUCUCUCCCGAGUAAUUACAAUAAUAUAUUAGACAUAUUCUCCUGAAUUACGCUACCUGGCCUUAAUUACAGUUUACUUAGAUCGCACUCAAGGUUUCGUUAUCCCUAAUCCCACCUUUAAACCCUUCGUAUUGAUAUCUCAUAUACGUUAGAAGUGAUGUUGUUCAACAACUACCUAAAUAUGCACUCUCUCCCGAGUAAUACAUACUAAAUAGGCACAGUCGAUUGAGGGUCCUUCAAUCAACAACAAUCACAAUAUAGUUGAACAAACAGAGAAAAUAUUAUGGCAAAUCUAUGUUAACAUACCAAAAAAUUCAUCCUCCAAGAGGUUCCCUCAAAACCCUAGGUUAGAAGUUUAGCUAUGCAUAAUCGUUUCCACAGUCAUAGCAAUAUAAUUCAUCAUCAAUGAUAAAAACAAGAGGAAGAAAGGUAAAAACUCUAUGCCGAAUCUUCCGUCUUACUUCUUGCUUGUUCUUGCCUUCAAAAUCGCUUCAAAAACCUUGAUAGCUUCUUUUUGGGCGAGCUCGUCUUCUUAUAGGUCAAAGAGGGUCGCCCUUGAACUUACGAAUUUACCCCUGAAAUAAAAUUCCUCGGAGGGACGAGCGCAGCCGCGGUUGGACCGCGCAUAAUACCUUCCUUUCUGCCUGACGAGCGCGGCCGCGGUUGGCCCGCGCUCUUGGAGUUCAGUCAGUCUUCCAUAUUUUUGCUUCUUCUUUUGCGCGCACUCACCCCCGAUUGACCUUUCUUGCUCCAAAUUAACUCCAAACACUCUUUAAUGUCCUCAUAGUUAGGAAUUGCUCCUACAAAGCACAAAGUUCAUAAUUAGAGCUAUUUGUUGUCAUUUAACAUUCAUAUAACAAUAAAGUAUAGCUAAGUUGGAGCGUAAAUAGUAGCUAAACUACAUAAUUAUCGUCUACUAUCAAUAUCUAUUUUGAUUCAGAUGUCUUAAUCUUAAUACACAUCUUGAUAUUCAGACAUGUAUUCAGAUUCAGAUGUCUUAAUCUUAAAAAAAAUAAAUGAGGCCUUAGUGCCAUAAAAUAUGUACAGUUAGACAUUUCUAUAACAACAUCUUUAUAUAAAAAUCAUUUACUAUAAAAGUCAAGUUUUUUUGGAACAGAUUUUUAUGUUAUGUUAUAAUUUAUGUUCUUUAUAACAACACCUCACUAUAGCAGCCAAAAAAUAUCGGAACAAACGAGGCUGUUAUAGAGAGGUUUGACUGUAUAAAAAAAGGGUAGUUCGGUGGACAAAGCAUUCCAUAUUCACAUAGGUUCUGGGAAGGGCCGCAUCUCAGAGGGUCUGAUGUAGACAACGUACUCUAACCUAUGCAUUAGUGACCGCUUUCACGGAUCGAAACUAUGACCUUUAGGCUACACAUAGACAAUUUUAACGUUGCUCCAAAACUCCCUUUCAAUGUCCGAGGAAGGACCGUACUCUAGGAAGUGUGAUAUAGACAGCCUACCCUAAUACAAGUAUUAGUGUCUACUUCUACGGCUUAAACCCGUAACUUAUUGAUUAUUACGGCAUAUAGUGCCAUAAAAUAUACUAUUAUUAUGCCAAUUAAGAAUGUUUUAAGUUUGAUGCAUGGGAUGACUUGGGGGAGCUUGGCUAUUUCAUGCUGAGGUGAAAUAAGGCCGGUAAAUGACUGACUUACUAGCUAGCUACUUCUUCUAUUUAUCAUUAUUAGGGGUCGUUUGGUAGCAUGCAUUAGAUAAGCUAAUGCAUGCAUUGGCUUUGUAUAUUAAUAAUAUAUUGUUUGGUAGAUAUUUUGAAUCUAUGCAUUAGUUAUGCAAGCAUUAGUUAUACAUCCUAUUUGGUAUUAUCCUAUGCAUAACUAAUGCAUAAAAAACAAUGGUAUUAGUAAUGCAAUGGGUUUUAAUGCAUGUAUUAGCUUAGUUAAAAACAAAAUUGUCCUUCAAAAUUUAUGCUUGAUUAAAAUAUGUUAGUUAUUAUAUUAAUGCAAGUUCAAAAUAAUCCAAAUAGUGAGAAAUAAAAUUAUAUCCCUAGUAAAUAAAUAAAUACUUAGCAUAUUUCCUUUUUUAUAAAUAAAUAUUUAAUUUUAUUUUACAAUAUAGGUAGACAAAUAAAAUAAUUUUUUAAACUUUUUCAUNNNNNNNNNNNNNNNNNNNNNNNNNUUCAGCAUUAUUCUUAUACAUCCUACCAAACGACCCCUUAGAGUGAAGUAACAUUUGAUUUAACUUUGUGAAAGGCGUCAUAUUAUAUUAGACUCAUCCUCAGUCUUGUUGUCAUACUUAGAAUUCAAACAAAAUAUGCUCAUUCGUAGUUUUAUUUUGUAUUUCAUACAACUGACAUUAGUUGUGUGAGGCGGCUUUUUGUCUCAUAAAUUUGUGGACUCCAAUCUUACACUUCUGGACUCAUAAAAAUCCGGGUCUACAAAACUGUGAGACAAAAAAAAUGCCUCAUACAACUAGUGUCAAUUGGAUGAGACACAGAAUAAAAAAUUUCGUCCAUUCCUUUCUGGUCAUAUAAGAUCGUUGGCGGAUUUGUUUGCCUAAAAAUGACUUUGACAAAGGAAAUUGUAGUAUUUGAACGUAAAUAUUAGUUUAGAAGAUUUUCCAAUUUUCUCCUCGGCAACUAAGUGGGUGUUUGGACAUAAGAAUUGUGAAAUACGUGAAAAUGCUAUUUGAAUAUUAGAAUUGUGUUUGGACAUAAAUACAAUAUGAAGUUAUUUUUGAAUUUUGUGAGUGAUUUGAAGUGAAAAUAAUUAAAAAAGAAUUUUUGGGUGUUUUUCAUAUUUCUAGAAACGUUUCGAAAUUCAACUUCGGCUAAAAUUUGAAAUUUUCAUGGCCAAAUAAAUAUUCCAAAAAAAAGAAGAAAAAAAUUCCAAAAAAGUACUUCCUCCGUUCCAAUUUAUGUGAACUUGUUUGACUGAACACGAAAUUUUAAGAAAAAAUGAAGACUUUUGAAAUUUGUGAUCCUAAACAAGCCAAAAAAGUGCCCAGAGUAUUUAUGUAGUUAUACAAGCUUCUCAUUAAGGGUAGAAUUAUAAGUUUAAGAUAAAUUAUUACCGUAUUUAGAAAGGGGUCAUUCUUUUUUGAACGGACCAAAAAAAAAA